GAUGAACGCUGGCGGCGUGCCUAAUACAUGCAAGUCGAGCGAACGGACGAGAAGCUUGCUUCUCUGAUGUUAGCGGCGGACGGGUGAGUAACACGUGGAUAACCUACCUAUAAGACUGGGAUAACUUCGGGAAACCGGAGCUAAUACCGGAUAAUAUUUUGAACUGCAUGGUUCAAAAGUGAAAGACGGUCUUGCUGUCACUUAUAGAUGGAUCCGCGCUGCAUUAGCUAGUUGGUAAGGUAACGGCUUACCAAGGCAACGAUGCAUAGCCGACCUGAGAGGGUGAUCGGCCACACUGGAACUGAGACACGGUCCAGACUCCUACGGGAGGCAGCAGUAGGGAAUCUUCCGCAAUGGGCGAAAGCCUGACGGAGCAACGCCGCGUGAGUGAUGAAGGUCUUCGGAUCGUAAAACUCUGUUAUUAGGGAAGAACAUAUGUGUAAGUAACUGUGCACAUCUUGACGGUACCUAAUCAGAAAGCCACGGCUAACUACGUGCCAGCAGCCGCGGUAAUACGUAGGUGGCAAGCGUUAUCCGGAAUUAUUGGGCGUAAAGCGCGCGUAGGCGGUUUUUUAAGUCUGAUGUGAAAGCCCACGGCUCAACCGUGGAGGGUCAUUGGAAACUGGAAAACUUGAGUGCAGAAGAGGAAAGUGGAAUUCCAUGUGUAGCGGUGAAAUGCGCAGAGAUAUGGAGGAACACCAGUGGCGAAGGCGACUUUCUGGUCUGUAACUGACGCUGAUGUGCGAAAGCGUGGGGAUCAAACAGGAUUAGAUACCCUGGUAGUCCACGCCGUAAACGAUGAGUGCUAAGUGUUAGGGGGUUUCCGCCCCUUAGUGCUGCAGCUAACGCAUUAAGCACUCCGCCUGGGGAGUACGACCGCAAGGUUGAAACUCAAAGGAAUUGACGGGGACCCGCACAAGCGGUGGAGCAUGUGGUUUAAUUCGAAGCAACGCGAAGAACCUUACCAAAUCUUGACAUCCUUUGACAACUCUAGAGAUAGAGCUUUCCCCUUCGGGGGACAAAGUGACAGGUGGUGCAUGGUUGUCGUCAGCUCGUGUCGUGAGAUGUUGGGUUAAGUCCCGCAACGAGCGCAACCCUUAAGCUUAGUUGCCAUCAUUAAGUUGGGCACUCUAAGUUGACUGCCGGUGACAAACCGGAGGAAGGUGGGGAUGACGUCAAAUCAUCAUGCCCCUUAUGAUUUGGGCUACACACGUGCUACAAUGGACAAUACAAAGGGCAGCGAAACCGCGAGGUCAAGCAAAUCCCAUAAAGUUGUUCUCAGUUCGGAUUGUAGUCUGCAACUCGACUACAUGAAGCUGGAAUCGCUAGUAAUCGUAGAUCAGCAUGCUACGGUGAAUACGUUCCCGGGUCU
This 1372-nucleotide ribosomal RNA is filed under the name uncultured bacterium. RNAcentral's name for it is "bacterial SSU rRNA". It matches the Rfam family "Bacterial small subunit ribosomal RNA", at positions 28 to 1381 of the family's 1533-position model. The record is from RNAcentral.